RNAcentral lists this ribosomal RNA (334 nucleotides) under Aurantiochytrium limacinum. Its description in RNAcentral is "partial Bacterial large subunit ribosomal RNA". It matches the Rfam family "Bacterial large subunit ribosomal RNA", at positions 495 to 837 of the family's 2925-position model. The record is from RNAcentral. Lineage: Eukaryota; Bigyra; Thraustochytrida; Thraustochytriidae.
UCAGUACCGUGAGGGAAAGGCGAAAAGAACCCCGGGAGGGGAGUGAAAUAGAUCCUGAAACCGCAUGCUUACAAAAAGUCGGAGCCCUUUGGGGUGACGGCGUACCUUUUGUAUAAUGGGUCAGCGACUUACAUUCAGUGGCGAGGUUAACCGAAUAGGGGAGCCGUAGAGAAAUCGAGUCCGAACAGGGCGACAGUCGCUGGGUGUAGACCCGAAACCAGGUGAUCUACCCAUGGCCAGGAUGAAGGUGCGGUAACACGCCCUGGAGGUCCGAACCCACUAAUGUUGAAAAAUUAGGGGAUGAGCUGUGGGUAGGGGUGAAAGGCUAAACAAA